UCCAAUCGAACUCGGAGAUAGCUGGUUCUCCCCGAAAUAGCUUUAGGGCUAGCGUCGGAUAUGUGUAGUGGAGGUAGAGCACUGAAUGGGCUAGGGGGCAUAUCGCUUACCGAACCUUAUCAAACUCCGAAUGCCAUAUACAUUUAGUCCGGCAGUCAGACUACGAAUGAUAAGAUCCGUGGUCAAAAGGGAAACAGCCCAGAUCGUCAGCUAAGGUCCCAAAGUGUAAGUUAAGUGGAAAAGGAUGUGGGAUUUCUAAGACAACUAGGAUGUUGGCUUAGAAGCAGCCACUCAUUUAAAGAGUGCGUAAUAGCUCACUAGUCGAGAGGUCCUGCGCCGAAAAUGUCCGGGGCUAAAACUUACCACCGAAGCUACGGGCUUGCGUAAGCAAGCGGUAGGGGAGCGUCGUAAUCGGGCUGAAGUCGUACCGUAAGGAGCGGUGGACUGAUUACGAGUGAGAAUGUUGGCAUUAGUAGCGAGAUGUAGGUGAGAAUCCUACAGGCCGAAUAUCUAAGGUUUCCUCAGGAAGGCUCGUCCGCUGAGGGUUAGUCGGGACCUAAGCCGAGGCCGAAAGGCGUAGGCGAUGGACAACAGGUUGAUAUUCCUGUACCACUACCAUCGUUAUUAUCGAGGGUGUGACGGAGAAGGAUAGUGUGUGCUAGCGAUUGGAAAUGCUAGUCUAAGCGUUUAGGCAGUUACGGUAGGCAAAUCCGCUGUAACGUUAAUGCUGAGGCGUGAUGGGGAAGGCCCUUGAGGCUGAAGUACAUGAUUCCAUGCUUCCAAGAAAAGCAUCUAGAGAGAGAAGUAGUGCCCGUACCGCAAACCGACACAGGUAGAUGAGGAGAGAAUCCUAAGGCCGGCGGAAGAAUUGCAGUUAAGGAACUAGGCAAAUUGACCCCGUAAGUUAGCGAGAAGGGGUGCCUGCGAGAGCAGGCCGCAGAGAAUAGGCCCAAGCAACUGUUUAGCAAAAACACAGGUCUCUGCUAAAGCGCAAGCUGAUGUAUAGGGGCUGACGCCUGCCCGGUGCUGGAAGGUUAAGGGGAACACUUAGCGCAAGCGAAGGUGUGAACUUAAGCCCCAGUAAACGGCGGCCGUAACUAUAACGGUCCUAAGGUAGCGAAAUUCCUUGUCAGGUAAGUUCUGACCCGCACGAAUGGCGUAAUGACUUGGGCACUGUCUCAACUGCAAAUCCGGCGAAGUUGUAGUGCGAGUGAAGAUGCUCGCUACCCGCGAUUGGACGGAAAGACCCCGUAGAGCUUUACUGUAGCUUAGCAUUGAAUUCCGGUAUUGUCUGUACAGGAUAGGUGGGAGACUGGGAAACUAGGGCGUCAGCCUUAGUGGAGUCGUCCUUGGGAUACCACCCUGACAGUACUGGGGUUCUAACAGGACGCCAUGAAUCUGGUGACUGGACAUUGUUAGGUGGGCAGUUUGACUGGGGCGGUCGCCUCCUAAAAAGUAACGGAGGCGCCCAAAGGUUCCCUCAGAACGGUCGGAAAUCGUUCGUAGAGUGCAAAGGCAGAAGGGAGCCUGACUGCGAGACCUACAAGUCGAGCAGGGACGAAAGUCGGGCUUAGUGAUCCGGUGGUACCUCGUGGGAGGGCCAUCGCUCAACGGAUAAAAGCUACCUCGGGGAUAACAGGCUGAUCUCCCCCAAGAGUCCACAUCGACGGGGAGGUUUGGCACCUCGAUGUCGGCUCAUCGCAUCCUGGGGCUG
Molecule: ribosomal RNA, 1714 nt
Filed under: human gut metagenome
Description: bacterial LSU rRNA
Rfam family: Bacterial large subunit ribosomal RNA
Source: RNAcentral